Molecule: non-coding RNA, 2081 nt
Organism: Sus scrofa (pig)
Lineage: Eukaryota; Metazoa; Chordata; Mammalia; Artiodactyla; Suidae
Source: RefSeq, a predicted model, not a curated record
CCAGCGGCGUGAUGCGUUCUGAGACCCGCGAGCCUCCGGCAGCUCCGGUAGGACAGGGCAGGAGAAGGCGGCAGCUGCAAACAAGAGAAGAUCUUGUGUUUAUGGGUUACUGAAGAAGGACUCGAUCAAUGACAGCUCUCAGAGGUGCAGAACCACUGAAUGUUCCUCCUGAAGCCAGUGGGCAUGGAGAUUGGCUCCUGUCAUCUGUGUCAUCCUGUGUCACCUCCAGAGGAGGGUGGCCUGAGUAAUGCGAGCAGAGAUGGGACAAUUCCCACACCCCACCUGAGAACCACUGAACCUGGUUAACCUUGAGCAGUCUGGGAACUUACGAAUUUAAAAAGCUCCACGUGUGAUUCUGAUGAUCAGCCACGGUUGUGAAACCAUAGCCUUAGGUAACUCUGGUCAAUGGGUAAGAGAAAUUUAAAUGCCAUUGAGAGGAAGUGUGGCCUCUAAAUAUAAAAUUUUACGGUUGCUAGCAGGUGAAGACAUGUAAAUGAAGUCUAUGAGAAUGGAUUCAGAGACUGAACAUGCAAAGCUAUCCCUAGUGGAUUUUUUUUUUUUGAUAAUAUAAACACCAAAUUUCAGUUAAAAAUGAUAAUUGUCAUUAUAUUCACUUUGACGAUCAGGUUAAAAUUUAGCAUGGUUUCAAGUAGAUUCUCCCAACAAAUUUCUUCCUUGGUAACACCCUAGACCUUGUGACAUCAUAGUAUUGCACCACAAUAUUGCACAUAAAUGUACUAAUUUGAACAUCCUCUUCUCUGUCUAGAACCUCCUGUCUAUUCAGCUUUCUUAUUUAGUUACUCACUCUUGACCUUUGUUUGACUGCCUAGGACCUUCUGUUGCCCUUCCCUAUCCCUUAAUCCACCUGCUCAUUCUUUCUUCAGUCUAGAGAAUAGAAAGCACAAAUUCAGUAGCAUUCCUGCCCCUAGCAAAGGCCCCUUUACCUCUCUGCUUUCUCAUUAUAAGUGCUUAGAAAGCCACAAACCUGGAUCAGCCUUGUUUUCCUCUUUUUCUUCAUCUUUCUUUUCAACUAAAGGUUGCAAUGGCAGAUAAAUUCAAGGUAACCGAUUUCAAAUGGGUCUUCCACCUUGUACAGCAAACUUACAUUUUUUUCUUCUUAUUAAUUCACCUUCUCAGUGAUUACUUCAUAUCUUUUUUAUACUUCUCACCCUUCCAAGAACGUUGUCUCUUUCUUGCCUUUCCACCUCAUUCUUAGAAGAGGAGCUUAUUUAUUUCUCCACUGAGAAGCCAUCAGAGAUAUAUUCCUCCAAUUUCCUGCUACCAAUUCUUUCCUGCAAUACCUUCUUCCAUCGCGCAUAUUUGUUCCUUCUCUUCUGUCUCUACUCCUAUUUAAGAUCAAUCUUUUCACCUAGGUCUUGGAUUCUAUUCUUUCCUGAUUUUUCAUAAACAUUACGCUACUGAAUAAUUCUUCUCUCUUUUUUGCCUAUUAAAGUGCUUCCUGGCAUUGGAUCAUUCCUGGUGACAUUUGAACACAUAUAAAAAUGUUUCUAGAGUCCAUUUUUUUUACCUCUAUACUCAGACCCCCUUCUAGCUAACACCUCACUUUCCACCUUUCUCCUCACUUGCAGAGCCAACUGUUUUGAUCUCUUAAAAGAUGUGUAGAUGUAUGUGAUUACAGAUGCACGACCUAAAAAUCUGAGAUUCAUCUAUGAUACUGGACUCUUUUCACACUCCAAAAUUUAAUCCAUCUUUGAGAUUCAUCUUUUCUUUAUUUUCUUUGAUCCAUUUACACUUUCCAUAUCAUCUGUCAUAUUUUCUAUACUACCACCAUCUCUAACCUGAAAUAAUGUGCUUGUUGUUUAAUUAAUUUCCCUUCAAUUCCUGUGGCUCGCCAUUCCAAUCCAUUUUUUUUCAAUGUACUGCGUGAUCUCUUCAAAAUGUGAUGCUCUUUUUUUUUUCUUAUUAGCUGGAAUACAUUUCUUACUGUUACUGAGAUAAUAACAAAUUUUAAAGAACAUUGCCAUCUUUUACCAAUCCCUCAAAUUUUAAAAUCUCUAAACUAUAUCUAGACACUUGUGAUGGAGCCUGAGAACGUGAUGAAAAAGAUGUAGACAUGUAUG